GAUGGCAGCAGAGAAGGCGCGCCUUGCCUGAUCCCUCAGCACGCUCCCACCCAGUUGCCCCAAGCCAGCCCCGCUCUGCUGUUCCCUCUGGACUCAAGGAGGCUUGGCAGGUUGCAGGCAUCACUCCGGGGGUCCGUCAUUCCAGAGUAAAAAAGGGCCCGUCAUCCUGACCAGGAGGCCCAUCAGUGGGAGGCCCAGCCAGACCUCCAGAUCCUCUCCGCCUCUACCCCUGACGAUCGCCGUCUGACUAAUGGACACCUGCGCGCCAUGGAUCCUGGCUCUCGACAGAGUGGUGUCCUUUAUUCUAAGCAUUAGACUCUCUGCUGUUGCACCCCUGGACUGGACUAUUCCUCAAAAAGUUGCCCUUUCUAUUGUCUGUUGGGUAAUUGUUAAGCUGUUUUACUGUGCUUCCCUGUCUCCCCUAGCUGGACCCAAGUCUCAGCCUGCAUUUCCCAAGUACUGUGAUCUCUGGGAGCUACUCCUUUCCCCGGGUGGGAUCUCCUAGGCGGAGCAGGCUGCCCCUUUGCCGAUCCCUGCGCUAGCUGGGCUCAGCGUAGCCGGAUCAGCUGUAGUGGGCACAGCGGCUGUAAUAAACAGAGGAGGUCGAUCAAGAUUGAGAGCAGCUUGAAACCGCCAUGAUUCAGCUGCAAGAUCGGAUUGAUUCCCCGGCUGAAGCGGUGUUACAAGACCGUAGAGGACUGGACCUCCUGUUCAUGUCACAGGGAGGCUUAUGUGUAGCCCUUGGAGAAGAUUGCUGUUUUUUAUGCAAAUAAGCUUGGCAUAGUUAAGAGCUCUCUAGCCAAAGUAAAAGAAAACAUCCAGCGUAGGAAUAAAAUGUUAGAAAAUAAAAAGUCUUAGUUCCAGGGAUGGUUUGAAUAGAA
Manis pentadactyla (Chinese pangolin) is the source of this 881-nucleotide long non-coding RNA. RefSeq lists it as uncharacterized. The transcript has 2 exons. Lineage: Eukaryota; Metazoa; Chordata; Mammalia; Pholidota; Manidae. The record is from RefSeq and is a predicted model, not a curated record.